This 433-nucleotide ribosomal RNA is filed under the name uncultured bacterium. RNAcentral describes it as "partial 16S ribosomal RNA". It matches the Rfam family "Bacterial small subunit ribosomal RNA", at positions 29 to 507 of the family's 1533-position model. The record is from RNAcentral.
AACGAACGCUGGCGGCAUGCCUAACACAUGCAAGUCGAACGAAACGUCCGGGCCUAGUGGCGCACGUCUGCGUAACGCGUGGGGACCUGCCCUUGGGUACGGAAUAACUGACCGAAAGGGAUCCUAAUAAAGGAUAGUGUCUUCGGACCAAAGAUUUAUUGCCGCUGGAUGGGCCCGCGUUAGAUUCGGUGGUUGGUAGGGUAAUAGCCUACCAAGGGCACGAUGCAUAGCUGGUCUGAGAGGAUGAUUAUCCACACUUGGACUACGACACGGCCCAGACUCCUACGCAACGCAGCAGUGGGGAAUAUUGGACGAUGGGGGAAAGCCUGAUCCAGCAAUGCCGGGUAAGUGAUGAAGGCCUUAGGGUUCUAAAGCUCUUUUACCCGGGAUGAUAAUGACGGUACCGGGUGAAUAAGCUCCGGCUAACUACGUG